Molecule: non-coding RNA, 72 nt
Organism: Phrynosoma platyrhinos (Desert horned lizard)
Lineage: Eukaryota; Metazoa; Chordata; Lepidosauria; Squamata; Phrynosomatidae
Source: the annotation of a GenBank genome assembly
GCCAGUGUGGUGUAGUGGUUUGAGUGUUGGACUACGACUCUGGAGACCAGGGUUCGAUUCUCUGCUCGGUCA